UUGUGUGUAGCUCAGUGGUAGAACCUGUGCAUAGCAUGCACAAGAUUCUGGGUUCAAUCCCUAGCACAAAAA
This 72-nucleotide transfer RNA is filed under the name Marmota marmota marmota (Alpine marmot). It matches the Rfam family "tRNA". Rfam says of the family: Transfer RNA (tRNA) molecules are approximately 80 nucleotides in length. Their secondary structure includes four short double-helical elements and three loops (D, anti-codon, and T loops). Further hydrogen bonds mediate the characteristic L-shaped molecular structure. tRNAs have two regions of fundamental functional importance: the anti-codon, which is responsible for specific mRNA codon recognition, and the 3' end, to which the tRNAs corresponding amino acid is attached (by aminoacyl-tRNA synthetases). tRNAs cope with the degeneracy of the genetic code in two manners: having more than one tRNA (with a specific anti-codon) for a particular amino acid; and 'wobble' base-pairing, i.e. permitting non-standard base-pairing at the 3rd anti-codon position. The record is from Rfam by way of RNAcentral. RNAcentral also lists the same sequence under 4 other names. Lineage: Eukaryota; Metazoa; Chordata; Mammalia; Rodentia; Sciuridae.